Molecule: long non-coding RNA, 1536 nt
Organism: Ictalurus punctatus (channel catfish)
Lineage: Eukaryota; Metazoa; Chordata; Actinopteri; Siluriformes; Ictaluridae
Source: Ensembl
AGCCAAUCAGAUAACCGCCACAUUGCACUGACCGAUCAUAGUAUGGUCUCGCUCCAACCAAUCAGGUUUGUUUUUACAGGAAAGGAGUCAUGCUGCGUAUAUAAUCUAACAGCAUCGUUAUAAAAACAUGUAAAAGAAAACCAGCAACGUUAUGGGUCAUCAGUGCACAGUUAUUAUUAAUGCACCAAUGUAUCAGCCGUUAAAGCCUAUUUUUCACGCUAUCAGCUGAUACUUUAAAAACAUCCGAUGUUCAGGGUCGAUUGUAUCCAGUCAAUAAAAAGAAAGCGGGAAAAGACACGAGUUUCGUGCUGUGUGUAAAGAUGAUGUGUUUUGUGUAGAAUGAUGACAAAACUGCAGUUUGUAAGCUCUGUAAUCUCUGCACUGCUAAAAAUUUACACCGGAAGUGAACAGCAGUGAAGCGGGAGUUUCGGCGUCUAGUCUUUUUUUUUUUUGCCGCACUGCUCGAGUUGAAUUAAAGGGCCAGUACACCAUUGAAAGAUUUAAAUGCAGAUGAGUUAACAAAAAGUAUAUAUUGCACAGAAAAAUAUAUUUGUAGAGUAGUAUAUUUCAUAUCCAGUUAAUGUUAAUAUAUAAAAAGUCUAUAUUAUAUAUGACCAGUGUGAUGUUCAGUGAUGAAGUAGAAAUGCUUGUAGUAAACUGCCAGUGUGAAAGCCCCGUAACUGUGCUCAUCUUACAAUAAUAUAAACAGCACAUGGCCUACAGAAUGAACUCAUCAUUUAAUGUUAGCGUGCUAGCAAAAUAUAAGCUCUGGUUUGAAGGGAAAAGGGGUUAUUCUGCUUUUCCUUAGACCCUGCACUGCUAAGUUUAGCUAGCGAAUUACAAUAUAGUGUUGAGAGUCAAACUAUCAUGCCUGGUUUUGUAUUCUCUGUGUGUUUCUGUUGCCUAAUCUAUGUGGUUUGUUUUCCAGCCUGUUAAACAACCAGUCGCACUAAUACACUCUGAGCAGUGGGUAAAAACACACAGACACACAGAUCAGGGCUUGAACCACUCACUCUUGCUUAAUUUAAGCACAUUAGAAAUGCAAAACUAUGUCAAAACUCAACCUCUCCAGUUAGAUCAGCUAUCAAGUUCUCUUGCACAACAACUUUGAUACAAACUCGCAUAAAGCAGCCCCUCGCAGGAACGAACGCGAAACCGAGGCAACUGGAGCUUUGGAGAUUUUCUGCAGCUUUGGGCCAAGACACAUGUGACGUCAUGACGAUGCACGUUCAGCCAAAGCCCUCUUCAAUUCGCAUAUGUCGAGCAUGAGUACAACUGAAAGGUUGCAUUCGCCAACAAACAUCGCUGUGAAAGAGCACAACAAUUUAGUGCAAUUGCAAGUUCACCAGUGCAAGUAGUUUUCCGCACAAAAAAGUCAGCGGAAUAGCCGGGCUGUCACCUGUCAUUCACUGGCUUCCCAGGAAAUUAGAGAACAAUGAAAUGCCUUAUCUGUUCAGCAGUAACAAAGCUAACACUGCAUCAGUCCUGAAGCCCUUUUCCUCCUAUAGUGUAGCAUCACACUCUUUUACUCUCGCA